AGAGUUUGAUCCUGGCUCAGGACGAACGCUGGCGGCGUGCUUAACACAUGCAAGUCGAGCGGUAAGGCCCUUUUGGGGGUACACGAGCGGCGAACGGGUGAGUAACACGUGGGUGACCUGCCCUUAGCUCUGGGAUAAGCCUGGGAAACUGGGUCUAAUACUGGAUAUGACUCCAUGUCGCAUGGUGUGGGGUGGAAAGCCUUGUGCGGCUAGGGAUGGGCCCGCGGCCUAUCAGCUUGUUGGUGGGGUGAUGGCCUACCAAGGCGACGACGGGUAGCCGGCCUGAGAGGGCGAUCGGCCACACUGGGACUGAGACACGGCCCAGACUCCUACGGGAGGCAGCAGUGGGGAAUUCUGCGCAAUGGGCGGAAGCCUGACGCAGCGACGCCGCGUGAGGGAUGACGGCCUUCGGGUUGUAAACCUCUUUCAGCCCUGACGAAGCCCUCUUGGGGGUGACGGUAGGGGUAGAAGAAGCACCGGCCAACUACGUGCCAGCAGCCGCGGUAAU
RNAcentral lists this ribosomal RNA (508 nucleotides) under uncultured Actinomycetes bacterium. RNAcentral describes it as "bacterial SSU rRNA". It matches the Rfam family "Bacterial small subunit ribosomal RNA", at positions 8 to 524 of the family's 1533-position model. The record is from RNAcentral. Lineage: Bacteria; Bacillati; Actinomycetota; Actinomycetes. RNAcentral also lists the same sequence under 1 other name.